CUCCGUGUUGAAGCUAACGCGUUAAGCACUCCGCCUGGGGACUACGGUCGCAAGACUAAAACUCAAAGGAAUUGACGGGGACCCGCACAAGCGGUGGAGCAUGUGGUUUAAUUCGAUGCAACGCGAAAAACCUUACCACUCCUUGACAUGGAGAUUAGAUCCUUCUUAACGGAAGGGCGCAGUUCGGCUGGGUCUCGCACAGGUGCUGCAUGGCUGUCGUCAGCUCGUGUCGUGAGAUGUUGGGUUAAGUCCCGCAACGAGCGUAACCCUCAUCCUUAGUUGCCAGCGGAUAAUGCCGGGUACUUUAAGGAAACUGCCGGUGGUAAACCGGAGGAAGGUGGGGAUGAUGUCAAGUCAGCACGGCCCUUAUGGGGUGGGCUACACACGUGCUACAAUGGUGACUACAAUAGGUUGCAACGCCGCAAGGCUGAGCUAAUCCAUAAAAGUCAUCUCAGUUCGGAUUGUCCUCUGUAACUCGAGGGCAUGAAGUCGGAAUCGCUAGUAAUCGUGGAUCAGCAUGCCACGGUGAAUACGUUCUCGGGUCUUGUACACACUGCCCGUCACGCCAUGGGAAUUGGCUUAACUCGAAGCUGGUGCGC
This 599-nucleotide ribosomal RNA is filed under the name uncultured Anaplasma sp. Its description in RNAcentral is "bacterial SSU rRNA". It matches the Rfam family "Bacterial small subunit ribosomal RNA", at positions 839 to 1435 of the family's 1533-position model. Lineage: Bacteria; Pseudomonadati; Pseudomonadota; Alphaproteobacteria; Rickettsiales; Anaplasmataceae. The record is from RNAcentral.